Molecule: long non-coding RNA, 229 nt
Filed under: Carica papaya (papaya)
Lineage: Eukaryota; Viridiplantae; Streptophyta; Magnoliopsida; Brassicales; Caricaceae
Description: long non-coding RNA (CPAP_LNC000137)
Source: RNAcentral
GGUGGGUCGGUUUCCCCACUCCCGAGGAAAGCUCCUCGGUUCUCGCACUGGUGGGUGACCCGGCCGAGCUUGUGUGGUCAUCUCAACACCAGCCCUACUCCACCGCCACUCAACAACUACCAAAAAAUGAAAAAACUUUACAUUUCUAACGUGGGAUAAUUCGACCUCGGUUUGGCUCUCAGUGGUCUCUUUUCGGCCACCCCGCGGCUCCCUAACUUGUUUGAGAUUC